This 167-nucleotide ribosomal RNA is filed under the name Pluchea indica. Its description in RNAcentral is "5.8S ribosomal RNA". It matches the Rfam family "5.8S ribosomal RNA". From Rfam's summary of the family: 5.8S ribosomal RNA (5.8S rRNA) is a component of the large subunit of the eukaryotic ribosome. It is transcribed by RNA polymerase I as part of the 45S precursor that also contains 18S and 28S rRNA. Functionally, it is thought that 5.8S rRNA may be involved in ribosome translocation. Lineage: Eukaryota; Viridiplantae; Streptophyta; Magnoliopsida; Asterales; Asteraceae. The record is from RNAcentral.
CCAAAAACGACUCUCGGCAACGGAUAUCUCGGCUCACGCAUCGAUGAAGAACGUAGCAAAAUGCGAUACUUGGUGUGAAUUGCAGAAUCCCGUGAACCAUCGAGUUUUUGAACGCAAGUUGCGCCCGAAGCCAUUCGGCCAAGGGCACGUCUGCCUGGGCGUCACGU